GAUGAACGCUGGCGGCGUGCUUAACACAUGCAAGUCGAACGGGAAACCUUUUAUUGAAGCUUCGGCAGAUUUAGCUGGUUUCUAGUGGCGGACGGGUGAGUAACGCGUGGGUAACCUGCCUUAUACAGGGGGAUAACAGUCAGAAAUGGCUGCUAAUACCGCAUAAGCGCACAGAGCUGCAUGGCUCAGUGUGAAAAACUCCGGUGGUAUAAGAUGGACCCGCGUUGGAUUAGCUGGUUGGUGGGGUAACGGCCCACCAAGGCGACGAUCCAUAGCCAGCCUGAGAGGGUGAACGGCCACAUUGGGACUGAGACACGGCCCAGACUCCUACGGGAGGCAGCAGUGGGGAAUAUUGCACAAUGGGGGAAACCCUGAUGCAGCGACGCCGCGUGAAGGAAGAAGUAUCUCGGUAUGUAAACUUCUAUCAGCAGGGAAGAUAAUGACGGUACCUGACUAAGAAGCCCCGGCUAACUACGUG
Molecule: ribosomal RNA, 478 nt
Filed under: uncultured bacterium
Lineage: Bacteria
Description: partial 16S ribosomal RNA
Rfam family: Bacterial small subunit ribosomal RNA
Source: RNAcentral